RNAcentral lists this transfer RNA (127 nucleotides) under Bos taurus (domestic cattle). It matches the Rfam family "tRNA". Rfam says of the family: Transfer RNA (tRNA) molecules are approximately 80 nucleotides in length. The record is from Rfam by way of RNAcentral. RNAcentral also lists the same sequence under 3 other names. Lineage: Eukaryota; Metazoa; Chordata; Mammalia; Artiodactyla; Bovidae.
GCCCGGCUAGCUCAGUCGGUAGAGCAUGAGACUCUUAAUCUCAGGGUGAGCUUCCCUGGUGGCUCACCAGAGGGUAAAGCGUCUGCCUGCAAUGAGGGAGACCCAGGUUCAAUCCCUGGGUUGGGAA